RNAcentral lists this long non-coding RNA (786 nucleotides) under Homo sapiens (human). RNAcentral describes it as "HSALNT0371875". The record is from RNAcentral. Lineage: Eukaryota; Metazoa; Chordata; Mammalia; Primates; Hominidae.
GCCCCGGUGUGUGAUGUUCCCCUUCCUGUGUCCAUGUGUUCUCAUUGUUCAAUUCCCAUCUAUGAGUGAGAACAUGCGGUGGUUGUUUUUCUGUCCUUGCGAUAGUUUGCUGAGAAUGAUGGUUUCCAAUUUCAUCCAUGUCCCUACAAAGGACAUGAACUCAUCAUUUUUUAUGGCUGCAUAGUAUUCCAUGGUGUAUGUGUGCCACAUUUCCUUAAUCCAGUCUAUCAUUGUUGGACAUUUGGGUUGGUUCCAAGUCUUUGCUAUUGUAAAUAAUGCCACAAUAAACAUACGCGUGCAUGUGUCUUUAUAGCAGCAUGAUUUAUAGUCCUUUGGGUAUAUACCCAGUAAUGGGAUGGCUGGGUCAAAUGGUAUUUCUAGUUCUAGAUCCUUGAGGAAUCGCCACACUGACUUCCACAAUGGUUGAACUAGUUUACAGUCCCACCAACAGUGUCAAAGUGUUCCUAUUUCUCCACAUCCUCUCCAGCACCUGUUGUUUCCUGACUUUUUAAUGAUUGCCAUUCUAACUGGCGUGAGAUGGUAUCUCACUGUGGUUUUGAUUUGCAUUUCUCUGAUGGCCAGUGAUGGUGAGCAUUUUUUCAUGUGUGUUUUGGCUGCAUAAAUGUCUUCUUUUGAGAAGUGUCUGUUCAUGUCCUUCGCCCACUUUUUGAUGGGGUUGUUUGUUUUUUUCUUGUAAAUUUGUUUGAGUUCAUCGUAGAUUCUGGAUAUUAGCCCUUUGUCAGAUGAGUAGGUUGUGAAAAUUUUCUCCCAUUCUGUAGGUUGCCU